RNAcentral lists this ribosomal RNA (468 nucleotides) under uncultured bacterium. Its description in RNAcentral is "partial 16S ribosomal RNA". It matches the Rfam family "Bacterial small subunit ribosomal RNA", at positions 28 to 507 of the family's 1533-position model. The record is from RNAcentral.
GAUGAACGCUGGCGGCGUGCUUAACACAUGCAAGUCGAACGGUGAAGGCGGAGCUUGCUCUGCUGGAUCAGUGGCGAACGGGUGAGUAACACGUGAGCAAUCUGCCCCUGACUCUGGGAUAAGCGCUGGAAACGGCGUCUAAUACUGGAUACGAGCUGCGAAGGCAUCUUCAGCAGCUGGAAAGAAUUUCGGUCAGGGAUGAGCUCGCGGCCUAUCAGCUUGUUGGUGAGGUAAUGGCUCACCAAGGCGUCGACGGGUAGCCGGCCUGAGAGGGUGACCGGCCACAAUGGGACUGAGACACGGCCCAGACUCCUACGGGAGGCAGCAGGGGGGAAUAUUGCACAAUGGGCGAAAGCCUGAUGCAGAAACGCCGCGUGAGGGACGACGGCCUUCGGGUUGUAAACCUAUUUUAGCAGGGAAGAAGCGAAAGUGACGGUACCUGCAGAAAAAGCGCCGGCUAACUACGUG